RNAcentral lists this ribosomal RNA (383 nucleotides) under uncultured bacterium. RNAcentral's name for it is "bacterial SSU rRNA". It matches the Rfam family "Bacterial small subunit ribosomal RNA", at positions 29 to 405 of the family's 1533-position model. The record is from RNAcentral.
AAUCAACGCUGGCGGCGUGCCUAACACAUGCAAGUCGAGCGCGAAAGGGGGCAACCCCGAGUAGAGCGGCGAACGGGUGAGUAACGCGUGGGUGAUUUGCCUCCGAGUGGGGAACAACACCGGGAAACUGGUGCUAAUACCGCAUGACAUCUUCGGGUCGUACCGGAGAUCAAAGCUGGGGACCGCAAGGCCUAGCGCUUGGAGAGAAGCCCGCGUCCGAUUAGCUAGUUGGUGGGGUAAGGCCUACCAAGGCGACGAUCGGUAGCCGGCCUGAGAGGGCGGACGGCCACACUGGGACUGAGACACGGCCCAGACUCCUACGGGAGGCAGCAGUGGGGAAUUUUCGCAAUGGGGGAAACCCUGACGAAGCAACGCCGCGUGGA